RNAcentral lists this unclassified non-coding RNA (544 nucleotides) under Hevea brasiliensis (rubber tree). Lineage: Eukaryota; Viridiplantae; Streptophyta; Magnoliopsida; Malpighiales; Euphorbiaceae. The record is from RNAcentral.
UUCCCAUUGUUUAAGCUCUGGUGCCUGCAAAACAUUUGCUGAAUGAAUGAUAUAUCCAAGUUGCAUAUUCCUACUCAUAUAACUUGGCAAAGGUUAGUAGAGAAAAGUUAAUAGAUAAAAGGACUAAUCUAAACAAUGAAAAUAUCCUAAUUGUAACAUUGUAAAGCUAUUAGCUGUCAUUUGUGUUGCUGGCUAAAGCUUAUGAUAUGAACCUAAAGCCUACUAUAUACAAAUUGUCAUAGACUCUUAGAAUGUCUUGUAAAUGAUUUCAACAUUGUUUAUCAAUGAAGACCCCUUUAUAUCCUAUAAAAUUCUAUCUUUGCUGAUCAAGAAAAAUGAACCAAAUACCUAAUAAAACCUCCUUCCUUCAAACCAGCUUAGUUAAAAGCAUAAGGCGCACUCAAAGCAAUACAUCAACCCAUUGCUUGAAGUGCAAAGUGCAAAAAACGUGCUCACUUCAUUGAAGGAAGUGCAAAAUUAUUAAAAACGAACUAAUAAUAUAAUAUGCAUGGAAAAUACAAUCCUCCAUAUAAAAUUUAAACCG